Molecule: ribosomal RNA, 408 nt
Filed under: uncultured bacterium
Lineage: Bacteria
Description: partial 16S ribosomal RNA
Rfam family: Bacterial small subunit ribosomal RNA
Source: RNAcentral
GACGAACGCUGGCGGCGUGCUUAACACAUGCAAGUCGAACGAAGUGGCGAACGGGUGAGUAAUACGUGGGUAACCUGCCCUCCUUUUUGGGAUAAGCCUUGGAAACGGGGUCUAAUACCGAAUAAGGGGGGAUGGGCUCGCGGCCUAUCAGCUUGUUGGUGGGGUGUUGGCCUACCAAGGCGGUGACGGGUAGCCGGCCUGAGAGGGUGACCGGCCACAUUGGGACUGAGAGACGGCCCAGACUCCUACGGGAGGCAGCAGUGGGGGAUAGUGCACGAUGGGGGAAAGUCUGACGGAGCAACGCCGCGUGAGUGAUGACGGCCUUCGGGUUGUAAAGCUCUGUUAAUCGGGACGCGGUACCGGAAUAGAAAGCCACGGCUAACUACGUGCCAGCAGCCGCGGUAAUUC